GUGGGGAAUAUUCCGCAAUGGACGAAAGUCUGACGGAGCAACGCCGCGUGAGUGAUGAAGGUUUUCGGACUGUAAAGCUCUGUUGUUUAGGACGAAAGUGCCUGUUGCAAAUAGUUACAGGUAUUGACGGUACUGAACGAGGAAGCCACGGCUAACUACGUGCCAGCAGCCGCGGUAAUACGUAGGUGGCAAGCGUUGUCCGGAAUUAUUGGGCGUAAAGAGCAUGUAGGCGGGAAUCUAAGUCUGUUGUGAAAAUGCGGGGCUCAACCCCGUAUUGCGAUGGAAACUGGGUUUCUUGAGUGCAGGAGAGGAAAGUGGAAUUCCCAGUGUAGCGGUGAAAUGCGUAGAUAUUGGGAGGAACACCAGUGGCGAAGGCGCCUUUCUGGACUGUGUCUGACGCUGAGAUGCGAAAGCCAGGGUAGCGAACGGGAUUAGAAACCCGAGUAGUCC
This 450-nucleotide ribosomal RNA is filed under the name uncultured bacterium. RNAcentral describes it as "partial 16S ribosomal RNA". It matches the Rfam family "Bacterial small subunit ribosomal RNA", at positions 354 to 796 of the family's 1533-position model. The record is from RNAcentral.